Molecule: transfer RNA, 61 nt
Filed under: Chaetoderma nitidulum
Lineage: Eukaryota; Metazoa; Mollusca; Caudofoveata; Chaetodermatida; Chaetodermatidae
Description: tRNA-Cys
Source: RNAcentral
GGUCUUUUAGUUGUUUCAAUAUUAAAUUGCAAAUUUAAAGAUGUAUUAUAUACAGAGACUU